AUUGAACGCUGGCGGAAUGCUUUACACAUGCAAGUCGAACGGCAGCACGGACUUCGGUCUGGUGGCGAGUGGCGAACGGGUGAGUAAUGUAUCGGAACGUGCCCAGUCGUGGGGGAUAACGUAGUGAAAAUUACGCUAAUACCGCAUACGAUCUAUGGAUGAAAGCGGGGGAUCGCAAGACCUCGCGCGAUUGGAGCGGCCGAUAUCAGAUUAGGUAGUUGGUGGGGUAAAGGCCCACCAAGCCAACGAUCUGUAGCUGGUCUGAGAGGACGACCAGCCACACUGGAACUGAGACACGGUCCAGACUCCUACGGGAGGCAGCAGUGGGGAAUUUUGGACAAUGGGCGAAAGCCUGAUCCAGCCAUUCCGCGUGCAGGAUGAAGGCCCUCGGGUUGUAAACUGCUUUAGCAAGGGAAGAAAAAGCUCAUGCGUGAGAAAUUGACGGUACCUUGAGAAUAAGCACCGGCUGACUACGUGCCAGCCGCCGCCGUAA
RNAcentral lists this ribosomal RNA (493 nucleotides) under uncultured bacterium. Its description in RNAcentral is "partial 16S ribosomal RNA". It matches the Rfam family "Bacterial small subunit ribosomal RNA", at positions 30 to 523 of the family's 1533-position model. The record is from RNAcentral.